UUGACCUCAAAUCAGGUGGGACUACCCGCUGAACUUAAGCAUAUCAAUAAGCGGAGGAAAAGAAACUAACAAGGAUUCCCUUAGUAACUGCGAGUGAAGUGGGAAGAGCUCAAAUUUGAAAUCUGGCAGUCUCUGGCUGUCCGAGUUGUAAUCUAGAGAAGUGUUGCCCGCGCUGGACCGUGUACAAGUCUCCUGGGAUGGAGCGUCAUAGAGGGUGAGAAUCCCGUCUCUGACAUGGACUACCAGGGCUUUUGUGGUGCGCUCUCAAAGAGUCGAGUUGUUUGGGAAUGCAGCUCAAAAUGGGUGGUAAAUUCCAUCUAAAGCUAAAUAUUGGCGAGAGACCGAUAGUGAACAAGUACCGUGAGGGAAAGAUGAAAAGAACUUUGGAAAGAGAGUUAAACAGUACGUGAAAUUGCUGAAAGGGAAACGCUUGAAGUCAGUCGCGUUGGCCAGGGAUCAGCCUUGCUUCUUAGUGUGGUGUACUUCCUGGUUGACGGGUCAGCAUCGGUUUCGACUGCUGGAGAAAGGCUUGGGGAAUGUGGCAGCUCUGGCUGUGUUAUAGCCUCCUGUCAGAUACAGUGGUUGGGACUGAGGAACGCAGCAUGCCGCAAGGCCGGGGCUAAUAUCAGCCUACGUUCAUGCUUAGGAUGUUGACAUAAUGGCUUUAAGCGACCCGUCUUGAAACACGGACCAAUC
RNAcentral lists this ribosomal RNA (696 nucleotides) under Leucocoprinus gongylophorus. Its description in RNAcentral is "eukaryotic LSU rRNA". It matches the Rfam family "Eukaryotic large subunit ribosomal RNA", at positions 1 to 671 of the family's 3401-position model. Lineage: Eukaryota; Fungi; Basidiomycota; Agaricomycetes; Agaricales; Agaricaceae. The record is from RNAcentral.